Molecule: long non-coding RNA, 1873 nt
Filed under: Homo sapiens (human)
Lineage: Eukaryota; Metazoa; Chordata; Mammalia; Primates; Hominidae
Description: non-protein coding lnc-RBM12B-10:7
Source: RNAcentral
UUUUUCCUGCUUCCUCUUAUUAAUGAACGAGUAUUUGCAUACCAAAACAUUUGCAGAGAAGAGAUUCAGACAGGAUUAGGUGGCUUUAUCGGUGGUGGUGAGGUUGUGGGGCGGGGGUAUUUUUCUUGGAGCUUGGUGUAUUCCUGAAUCCAUCAGAUGUUGGUGUCCGCGUGGAUGACUAGGAAAAGGGGAUUGGAGAUUAGGUUUCUUCUACUUGGAGUUCUCUGCUGCUUGUUUGAGCUUAAUAAGCCUCCUGAAGAAGUUGAAGCAAUUUAUUGCUAGAGGAGCCCCAAUGUAUAAUCUCCCUUUCAUUCUCUACUGUGGAGAGGUGUGCUAAACCUGUAGAGCUGUUUUUGCUUCACUCGGCUCAUACUUAAUGAUCAACAAGUAUGGUGUGAGAUGGUAACCUCAGAUAACCAUUUUAAAUCUGCCUUUGUUUGCUCAUAUACUCUGUCUCCUAAUGAUUCAGCACAACAAACAUUCCAGAGAGAAAAAACAAAAGAGUUUCUGGAGGCUGCUCACAUUCCUUGGCUUAUGGCCUCCUUCUUCCAACGUCAAAGCCAGCAACAUUGCAGCAAUCUGACUUAUUUUGUUGUCAUGUCUCCUGACCACAUCUGGAAGGGUUAUCUACUUUUGAAGACACAUCCAGAUAAUUCAGGACAAUCUGUCCAUUUUGAGGUUCUUCAUUGAAUCAUGUCUGCAAAGUCCCUUCUGCAAUCUAAGUAAGAAAAAUCACCAAGAAUAUUAUUUUUGGUAUUUGGAAUUGAAUUUGCCAGGAAUGCAAGCACUGCUACCUAACUAAAGACCUUGGCUUUGGAAACAUCUUACCCCUUGGCAGCUCUCCAGAGUUUAGACUUGGCAGCAUCAAAGACACAACGCAAGGUGUGUUUAUUUGAUUUAACAUUUUGCAAAAGGUGUUUUGAUUUGUGGUUUGUUUUCUUUCACUUUGUACUUAUUGCUUUGGGUUGUUUUUUUCUGGCAAUGAACCUGGGUUCCAAGCAUAGGUUUUUCUUAUGGAAGGCAGUUUUACAAUAAGGAAAUGUUUUUACUUGUAUUUAUUUUGUGAUAUUUCAGCAAAUCCAAAUAAAUGUAGUAACAUUUAUAAAGCUAUACAUUUAUAACUGAUUUAUUUGUUAAAUAUUUAGUAUUAUCAAUUGUCUGUUAAAGAUUUGUUGCUACAUUAAAUGCUUGGUCUGUCUUGAUGUUCAGUACAUUAUUAUACUUUGGUAUAUUGCAAUAUUUUGAUAAUUAUGUAUUGGUUUUAGUCACUGUUCCUGCAUAUUAAGUAAUAAACAGAUUAAUAUCAUCAUAAAAUAUCAUUUACUCAGCAAUAUUUCUUAGUAAAUUGAUACAUCCAUUUUUCUUAUGUAUUGUGGAGAGAGGAAAUAUGACAUAAAAUGGAAGAAUAUGGGCCUCUGUUUAUCUCUGACCUCAUCGCUUACUGUUCUUUCCCACUCCUCACUCUACUCAAAGCCUUUAAAUAGCUCUCCAUUUUACUCAACAUCAAAUCUAAAUAAAGCUCUUAAACUGGUCUAAAUGUCUCUACAGUACUUGAACCUUUGUUAUUUCUCUAAUUUCAUCUUCAACUCUGCUCAUCGUUAUUCUCUUGCCCUGGGCAUACUGCCUCCCUUUUUGUUCUCUGAACGUGCCAGGCAUUUUCUCAUCUCAGAAUUUUUGCACUUGCUAUUCUUUCUACUGAAUUGCUCUUCAUCCAUAUAUAGCAAUUGUAUGACCAAUUUCCUUACUUUUCUUUUGGUCGUUAUUAAAAUUUCACCUUCUAAAUGGAGUCUUACCUGAUGACCAUCCAAAGCUUUAUAUUCUUUCUUUGCUCUAUAAUUUUUAUCACUAUCUAUUAAACUAUAUAUUUACACUU